RNAcentral lists this ribosomal RNA (252 nucleotides) under uncultured prokaryote. RNAcentral's name for it is "partial 16S rRNA". It matches the Rfam family "Archaeal small subunit ribosomal RNA", at positions 475 to 726 of the family's 1478-position model. The record is from RNAcentral.
ACCGGCGGCUCGAGUGGUGGCCACUAUUACUGGGCUUAAAGCGUUCGUAGCUGGCUUGUUAAGUCUCUGGGGGAAUCUUCCGGCUCAACCGGAAGGCGUCUCAGGGAUACUGGCAGGCUAGGGACCGGAAGAGGUGAGAGGAACUCCAGGGGUAGAGGUGAAAUGCGGAGAUACGCGGGGGAACAACGGUGGCGAGGGCGACUCACCGGGACAACUCCUACGGUGAGGAGCGAAAGCGUGGGGAGCAAACAG